This 23-nucleotide unclassified non-coding RNA is filed under the name Mus musculus (house mouse). RNAcentral's name for it is "oocyte_clustered_small_RNA9297". Lineage: Eukaryota; Metazoa; Chordata; Mammalia; Rodentia; Muridae. The record is from RNAcentral.
CAACUCAGACAGGCCAUCGAUUA